Molecule: long non-coding RNA, 2910 nt
Filed under: Erythranthe guttata (spotted monkey flower)
Lineage: Eukaryota; Viridiplantae; Streptophyta; Magnoliopsida; Lamiales; Phrymaceae
Description: long non-coding RNA (EGUT_LNC001183)
Source: RNAcentral
ACUAUCUCUCUUCAUCUCUCCUCUCUAUCUCUCGUUCACUCUUUUUUUUUUCUUCGAAAUUAACCACCACCAGAUCUGAAAAUAACAUGAGAGACGGCGCGAUGAGAGCAGCGGCGUUGCAGGAAUCACGGUGGGGAACGGCGGUCUGCGUGGCUUCACAUCGUCGGAGCACCACCCGUUCUUCUCCGCCACCCGAUUCACAAUUUCUUCCCGUGGUGCAUCGGUGGAAGACGUGAAGCGACGGCGGCGCGGCGGUAGCCCAGAAGAAGCCGAAGAUCGGCAAGAAGAUAACAUCGGCAAGGAGAAUCGCCGAAAGGAGAUCGACGACGAUUACGAGGAGAACGGGAUCCAUAGUCCGUUGCACGAGAUCGCGUUCCAGGUAAACAACUCCCCUGGUGAUAAUCUGGCGUAAGUCUUUUUUUCGUCAUAUUUAAUUAAAUUAUUAUUUUCUCUGAAUUUUCGUGUUCCAAUUGUUCAAUAUAUACAUUAAUAAAAUGAAUGCAGAGGAAAAAUGGAGAGAGAAAGAUGAUUUUGAGAGGGUAUUCUCAUAAAUUAACCCUCUCUGUUCAAUCAAGGCUAUGCAUAUUUAAUCAAUUACAUGUUCGCCUAUUUUCUCAUUGUUGAUUGAAGUUGUGGCUAUGGCUGCUGCCUUUUAUUACUUAUGUUUAUAGUUUUAAUUUCCGAGUCCAUGGUUAAGGUACAACUAUAAGAACAGGGAUUUGAGUGCCUCCAAGAUGUGGUGGGAGUUCAAAUUCCAAUUGCACCUAACAUAAUCAAAAUUAGUCACAUGUAGUAACAAAAAGCACAUAAUUAUAUGAGACUAUAGUUGACUACAUGAGAUUAUAGUUUACUAAAUUAAAUUUAGGGUUAAAUACAGUUUGCACCCCUGUACUAUCACCAUCGUCGCAUUUACCCCCCUGUACUAUGAAAUGCGACAAAACAACCCCUCAUUUUAACAGUCAACUCUCACGUCUUUAACGACGUUAGUUUCAUCAGUGAAACUACCUUUUUACCCUUACCACUACGACCAAGUGAAUGAAAAAAAGCUUCUGCAACUUCUGACAUUGGCUAAAUUUCUACAAACUGUACAAAACUCUCUUCUUCGCCCAAAAUUCUCUCCGAUGAGUGACUUCAUAAUUGCUCAUUUCUUCGGGUGUCAUCACAAUUGUAAAAAUCCUCAUUUUCAUUUUGGUUGAAGUUUAUGAUAUGGGCAGUGAAGCAUUUCCCAUGGUAAAGUGGAGAUAAAAAAAAAAAAGGACGGUAAGGAUCACAAACCAUGAUUGGGGGCUAAAUUAGUGAUGUACGUUUCUUGGGCUCAGGGGUAUGACACCGAAGGAGAGAGGAAUUGAUUUGGGGAGCUCCAAAUCGAAGGGUCUCCUCCAUCAAUUUCAUUUUGCCGUUGCAACAACCACAACCGCAACUGAUGGUGUUGUUUCCUGCAGCGUGAAAAGCAAAGAUCCAAACGUGAUUGAAGAUAAGGUUUGAAGAAUCAUCCAAAAACAAAUUUUAUUAAACCACACAUCCCAAGAAAUUGGAUGUUUAUCAAACCCAUUUUUCUAUUAAGCUUACAAUAGGGUGUAAAUUUUAUUUCAUAUUUUUUUUAUAUCAUUUCAAUUUUGCAUUUCUCUAUUAAGCUUACAAUUACAUAUUAUAGAAUUUAAUAACAAUUACAUAUUAUAGAAUUUGAUUGAACAAAAAAUAAAUGAUUUUGCGGAAAAAAGAGAAUUUUUUUAUAAAACAAAUUUCAUAUAAAAUGGCUUUUUUUAUAAUUUAAAGAUCAGGAAUAAUUUUUUUUAUGGCUUUAUAAGAUUUUCAAAUAAUUAUAUAUUAUACAUUUUAUGCAAAUAUUAUAAUUAAGUAUUUCAUUUGUUUUUUUGGUAAUUGUUUUGUCGGUUCUGAAGUAGUAGAACUCUUCUUGCAUUUCUUUUGUUCUGCAUCUAUUUAUUUGAAGGGUAAAACUGUCUUUAAAAAAAAAGAGUUGUUGUCAAUGCGCCACGUCAUCCUUAGGGGAUAGAAGAACUAACGGUUGCUAACAGUAGGGGUUAUUUUGUCGCAUUUGAUAGUUCAGGGGGGUAAAUGCGACAGUGACUAUAGUACAGGGGUGCAAAGUGUAUUAAACCCUUAAAUUUAUCAAAAGUAGAAAUGGCUUUUGUGUGUGAUUUUAAUUUUAUUAAUAAUUUUAGUUGUUGUGUUUGAUUAUUUUUUUUUCCUGCAAUCAAUUUUUUGGUGAAUUUUAUCUAUGGUGUUCCACUUCAACUUGCUUUGAUCUUUGACCUUUGGUUAUACGAAGAAUAAUGACUAGCAUACUUUGUUUGUAAUUUGAUUUUGAUAAUAUAAGCUGUCUCGUAUCGCCUGGAGAACAAAGUUAGGUACUUGAAGGGACAAAUAAAGUCACAUACAUGUAUAUAGUCACGUGUGGUCAUAUACAUGUAGUCAUAUAUAGUCAUGUGUAGUAACAUACAGUAAUAUAUGGUGUAGUCACAUAUAGUAAUAUAUAGUCACGUGUAGUAACAUACAGUAAUAUAUGGUGUAGUCACAUAUAGUAAUAUAUAGUCACGUGUAGUAACAUACAGUAAUAUAUGGUGUAGUCACAUGUAGUAAUAUAUAGUUAUAUAUAAACUAUGUAGUCAUGUAUGAGUUAUGUGGGGAGUAUCUAUGUGUAGGUGAUAGUGCGUGUGUGCACAUUUAAAUUUGAAGCAAAAUUCGUUAUUUGUUUAACUCUUUUUCUUUUUCACAGGUCUUGGUGUUUGAACUACAAUGUAGUAAGUUUUUUCACAGAUCUUGGUGUUUGAACUACUAUGUAGUAAGUUUUUGCGGAGUGGAUUGUGUUCGUUGUUCAAAACAAGCGGUUCUCGUGUUGACAAGUGCGAUUUGAGUCAAAUUUAAUCGUAUAGAUAAUUGUAGUCAUGU